GCGCGAGUUCCCGCUGCGCUCCACAGGCUUCAGGUGGCUAUCCCUGAAGCCUUUGGAGCACAGCGGGAACUCGCGG
Molecule: microRNA precursor, 76 nt
Filed under: Podarcis lilfordi (Lilford's wall lizard)
Lineage: Eukaryota; Metazoa; Chordata; Lepidosauria; Squamata; Lacertidae
Source: RNAcentral